UACCUCUUUAACCCAGUCCUGCGAGGCUGACAAGAGGGUAAAUCCUUACAUGGAGUCUGACGGCUAAAGUCAACUUUGUUAGGUGAAACCUCUUUGUCAUACGCAAAGAGGUUUUUUGUUU
Molecule: regulatory RNA element, 121 nt
Rfam family: PyrR binding site
About the family: This family represents the PyrR binding site and terminator structure. This RNA structure is found upstream of a variety of genes involved in pyrimidine biosynthesis and transport. The alignment also includes a portion of the antiterminator structure.
Source: Rfam